CCACACGGCUCGCCGCAACACUCGCGGGCUCGUGGACCGGGGACCCACCGCAGCACUGGGGUGAAGCUCUGCACGGCCCGUUCGCGGGCCUCGCGGAGCCGGGCGACUUCCCGCCCGAACCCGUCAGCUAACUCGGUAGGCGGCAGGUGGAAGAAAG
RNAcentral lists this small RNA (157 nucleotides) under Modestobacter caceresii. Its description in RNAcentral is "c-di-AMP riboswitch aptamer (ydaO/yuaA leader)". It matches the Rfam family "c-di-AMP riboswitch aptamer (ydaO/yuaA leader)". From Rfam's summary of the family: This family represents a conserved RNA structure found upstream of the ydaO and yuaA genes in Bacillus subtilis and related genes in other bacteria. The record is from Rfam by way of RNAcentral. Lineage: Bacteria; Bacillati; Actinomycetota; Actinomycetes; Geodermatophilales; Geodermatophilaceae. RNAcentral also lists the same sequence under 1 other name.